Molecule: long non-coding RNA, 704 nt
Filed under: Homo sapiens (human)
Lineage: Eukaryota; Metazoa; Chordata; Mammalia; Primates; Hominidae
Description: HSALNT0161800
Source: RNAcentral
CCCAGGGCUGGGAGUGCUCAGCUGAGAAUGUUCUGGAAGCUGUGCCCCGCCCUGACCCCCAGAGGAGCCUGGGCCUGCGGUCCUAGGGGAUAAGAAGGGCUCUGCAUGGAGGACAUUGGUCCUGCUGAGGCUUCCAGAGGCCCGGCGGGACGGGUGUCUGCACUGUUUUCCAGGACCCCUCCUGAGGGCUGCAAAAAGCUUCCAGGCCUCCAUGUUGAUGGCAGAGCAGGCAAGGCAGCUCACCCUUCACCCUGCUGACUUCUGUGCACAUUUGGGGCCACGUUUUCAACAGCUCCGGCACUGGAGCCAAGAUAAAGUCAGCCUAAGGUUUCCACCUCUAAUCCAGCCCCUCAGAUGCAGCUGAUGUCUUAGCCACCACACACAGCAACCUUUUUUGUCUUCACAGUUGUCUCUGAAGCAGCUUCCAACUAAAUAAAAGCAGCUUUGUAAAGGACACAUCAUUGAGGCUCUCGUGACCUGUGCCAGGUGGGAGGAAGUGACCUCUGCUCUAUUUCCCAGCCCUGAUACCCAGCCUGGCAUCAGGCGGGGGGGGCUGUUGCCUGGUUACCCAUUUGCAUUUGUAAUUUAUCAGCGUUCUCCAAAUCAUAAAGGUUUGGGUUUUAGUUAUGCAUGUCUGGCCCCUGGAAGAAAGGCUGAAUGAGAUCCCUCAGGGAGGUAAAGCUUUGGUCCCUGAAUCAUCUCUU